RNAcentral lists this ribosomal RNA (503 nucleotides) under uncultured bacterium. RNAcentral's name for it is "partial 16S ribosomal RNA". It matches the Rfam family "Bacterial small subunit ribosomal RNA", at positions 28 to 505 of the family's 1533-position model. The record is from RNAcentral.
GACGAACGCUGGCGGCGUGCCUAAUACAUGCAAGUAGAACGCACAGUUUAUACCGUAGCUUACUACACCAUAGACUGUGAGUUGCGAACGGGUGAGUAACGCGUAGGUAACCUGCCUGGUAGCGGGGGAUAACUAUUGGAAACGAUAGCUAAUACCGCAUAAUAUUGAUUAUUGCAUGAUAAUUGAUUGAAAGAUGCUAUUGCAUCACUACCAGAUGGACCUGCGUUGUAUUAGCUAGUAGGUGAGGUAACGGCUCACCUAGGCGACGAUACAUAGCCGACCUGAGAGGGUGAUCGGCCACACUGGGACUGAGACACGGCCCAGACUCCUACGGGAGGCAGCAGUAGGGAAUCUUCGGCAAUGGACGAAAGUCUGACCGAGCAACGCCGCGUGAGUGAAGAAGGUUUUCGGAUCGUAAAGCUCUGUUGUAAGAGAAGAACGGGUGUGAGAGUGGAAAGUUCACACUGUGACGGUAUCUUACCAGAAAGGGACGGCUAACUACG